RNAcentral lists this transfer RNA (74 nucleotides) under Verrucomicrobiota bacterium. Its description in RNAcentral is "Verrucomicrobia bacterium tRNA-Gly". It matches the Rfam family "tRNA". Rfam says of the family: Transfer RNA (tRNA) molecules are approximately 80 nucleotides in length. Their secondary structure includes four short double-helical elements and three loops (D, anti-codon, and T loops). The record is from RNAcentral. Lineage: Bacteria; Pseudomonadati; Verrucomicrobiota.
GCGGCUGUGGUUUAGCAGCAGAACGUCUUCUUGCCAGGGAGAAGGUCCGGGUGCGAUUCCCGGCAGCCGCACCA